UAUUGGACAAUGGGGGGAACCCUGAUCCAGCCAUGCCGCGUGUGUGAAGAAGGCCUUAUGGUUGUAAAGCACUUUAAGCGAGGAGGAGGCUCUUUUGGUUAAUACCCAAGAUGAGUGGACGUUACUCGCAGGAUAAGCCCCGGCUAACUCUGUGCCAGCAGCCGCGGUAAUACAGAGGGUGCAAGCGUUAAUCGGAUUUACUGGGCGUAAAGCGCGCGUAGGCGGCCAAUUAAGUCAAAUGUGAAGUCCCCGAGCUUAACUUGGGAAUUGCAUUCGAUACUGGUUGGCUAGAGUGUGGGAGAGGAUGGUAGAAUUCCAGGUGUAGCGGUGAAAUGCGUAGAGAUCUGGAGGAAUACCGAUGGCGAAGGCAGCCAUCUGGCCUAACACUGACGCUGAGGUGCGAAAGCAUGGGGAGCAAACAGG
This 423-nucleotide ribosomal RNA is filed under the name uncultured bacterium. Its description in RNAcentral is "bacterial SSU rRNA". It matches the Rfam family "Bacterial small subunit ribosomal RNA", at positions 362 to 776 of the family's 1533-position model. The record is from RNAcentral.